Molecule: ribosomal RNA, 292 nt
Filed under: uncultured Acidobacteriota bacterium
Lineage: Bacteria; Pseudomonadati; Acidobacteriota
Description: uncultured Acidobacteria bacterium partial 16S ribosomal RNA
Source: RNAcentral
GGACUACACGGGUAUCUAAUCCUGUUUGCUCCCCUAGCUUUCGUGCAUCAGCGUCAGUUAUGGUCCAGUGAGCCGCUUUCGCCACAGGUGUUCCUUCCGAUAUCUACGCAUUUCACCGCUACACCGGAAAUUCCACUCACCUCUCCCACACUCAAGCCCGGCAGUUUCUCAUGCAGACUUCAAGUUGAGCCUGAAGAUUUCACAUAAGACUUACCGAACCGCCUACGCACCCUUUACGCCCAAUAAUUCCGAACAACGCUUGCCCCCCUCGUAUUACCGCGGCUGCUGGCAC